This 152-nucleotide unclassified non-coding RNA is filed under the name uncultured Stagonospora. RNAcentral's name for it is "sequence contains ITS2". The record is from RNAcentral. Lineage: Eukaryota; Fungi; Ascomycota; Dothideomycetes; Pleosporales; Pleosporaceae.
ACACCCUCAAGCUCUGCUUGGUGUUGGGCGUCUGUCCCGCUUUACACGUGGACUCGCCCCAAAGUCAUUGGCAGCGGUCGUGCCAGCUUCUCGCGCAGCACAUUUGCGUUUCUCGAAGUCUGGUGGAUCGGCGUCCACAAAGCUCUUUUAUG